This is a long non-coding RNA of Hermetia illucens (black soldier fly), 509 nucleotides long. RefSeq lists it as uncharacterized. NCBI's taxonomy places the organism in Eukaryota, Metazoa, Arthropoda, Insecta, Diptera, Stratiomyidae. The transcript has 3 exons. The record is from RefSeq and is a predicted model, not a curated record.
CGCGGUUUCAACUUUCAACUUUCGAAAUACGCUAUAAAUCACUAUCACUCUAAACUCCUUAAGUCUGACCACUCUUUUAAAUAAGGACAAUGAGAGCCUGGACGCGCGGUCGACAGAAUCAAGCCAAUCUUACUUUCGUGUUGCUUCGUACGCUCAUUACUUUGGCAAUAACGACUCAAUUGGUAUUUGAUAUGUGAUGGCAGCCAAGAAUGUAACAGCGAAAGUUGACCAUAUGCACGGUAUCAUAAGACAUGAUUUAACUCAAAUGGGCGGAGAUAGUAACGCACAACAAAGUUGGGAGUGGAUGGAUGGGACUAAAUUAAGAUUAACCAACAGAUGACAGAUAUAGAAGGAGGUAACAGCUAGAAAUCGUAAAGGAACUACAUUAGUUAAGGAAAUUGGAUUCCAUCGGGAACGAACGGACGAACGAGGCGACUAUAUCAAACAACACGUUUAAUAGCCUUUUAAAACUUAGAAAAUCAAUGAGGAGCGAAUUCGAUAACUGUAGU